Small nuclear RNA from Jaculus jaculus (lesser Egyptian jerboa), 164 nucleotides. RefSeq annotates it as U1 spliceosomal RNA. The transcript has a single exon. The record is from RefSeq and is a predicted model, not a curated record. Lineage: Eukaryota; Metazoa; Chordata; Mammalia; Rodentia; Dipodidae.
AUAUUUAUUUGAUAAAGGAGACAUCAUGAUCAUAGAGGUAGUUUUCCCUGGGCAAGGCUUGUCUAUUGUCCUUUGGACGUGCUGACCCCUACUAUUUCCCCAAAUGCAGGAAAUUAGACUGCAUAAUUUGUGGUAGUGGGGGACUGUGUUCGCACCCUCCCCUG